This 231-nucleotide ribosomal RNA is filed under the name Vibrio parahaemolyticus. RNAcentral's name for it is "partial 23S ribosomal RNA". It matches the Rfam family "Bacterial large subunit ribosomal RNA", at positions 1 to 232 of the family's 2925-position model. Lineage: Bacteria; Pseudomonadati; Pseudomonadota; Gammaproteobacteria; Vibrionales; Vibrionaceae. The record is from RNAcentral.
AUGGUUAAGUGACUAAGCGUACACGGUGGAUGCCUUGGCAGUCAGAGGCGAUGAAGGACGUAUUAACUUGCGAUAAGCCCAGAUUAGGCAGUAAAAGCCACUUGAGUCUGGGAUUUCCGAAUGGGGAAACCCAACUGCAUAAGCAGUUACUGUUAACUGAAUACAUAGGUUAACAGGGCGAACCGGGGGAACUGAAACAUCUAAGUACCCCGAGGAAAAGAAAUCAACCGA